Bubalus bubalis (water buffalo) is the source of this 5133-nucleotide long non-coding RNA. RefSeq lists it as uncharacterized. The record is from RefSeq and is a predicted model, not a curated record. NCBI's taxonomy places the organism in Eukaryota, Metazoa, Chordata, Mammalia, Artiodactyla, Bovidae. The transcript is spliced from 2 exons.
UUUGGUUGCUGGUAACCCCUCUCAAAUGAACCUCUCAUCCCUGGUUCAUUUCCCUGAUUCAGCUUAUCCUUCCAGUUCUCAUGAUGAACAAUUGAACUGUUUUUGAAAUUCACAAAGUUUUGCAUGUCCAUUAGAAUAAAUGAAUAACACAGUGAUAAACACCACCUGCAGACUAAAGCUUGUGCCUGUGUGGGAUUUGUAAAAUAGGCUUGAGAGUCUCGAAAGGAGACUGUUCAUGAAUUUGUUCAGCUGGGGUUUUCAAGGGGCUGAACUUGCUGGUCUCUUCUGUUUUAACCUUGGGAGUGAUUCAUUCCUUUUUCAGAAUCUAUGCCUAAACUGCAGAGCAUGAAUACCUCUUGCCCUAAAUGGCUGAAAUAAGAAUCAUGGUCAGAUAGGCUUGCUGCUCACCAGUCCAGGAGCCAAGAGGUGACAUGUUGACGAGCAGGGUCCUGCUUGAUGAUGUCUAUCAUGUGAAGUCCCCUCCUAAAUCUUGUUUGAUUUCAUUUCAUGACACACAGUCUUUAUCAUAAUAUAUCAUAUGUUAAAUGGGCUUGAAAUCUGGUUAAUGUUGUUAGAUCUCAGAGCAGAUAAAAGUAACCUUUACUCAGACACAAAGCUGAGUAUGGUGGAAAAUAUAAUAGUAAGUGUUAGGUAAUUUUCAUCUUCAAGUUUUCCUUUUUUCCCAUUGUCAAAAUCUUUCUACCCUUUACAUCACAUUGUAACUUAGUUGUCACACAAGCUCCAUUAUUUUUCCCUCUUGAGAGGCAAGGUUUCUUUCCUUUGAGAAAAAUUCUCUCUCAGGUGCAUUGAUGUAAAGAAUUUCCCGAUUGAAAUUUGCCAUUUAUUAGCUUUGCUGUUCCUUUGUGAGCUGGUUACAGUAUGAACAUCAUUAUUAAAGUGUGAGAGAGCUUUAAAAACUAAAUAUUCUUAAGUACCCUGAGAGGAAAAAAAUAGGCAAAGAGAAGUGAGAUCAGUAAAGAAUGCAGCAGGACUGGUCCAUGGUGCCAGAAAGAAGUGGAAAAACGAGAUGGAGCAGGCGCGGUGCAAAAAGUCUUCUAGUAAAUUCGCAGUACAGAGCCGUGGAAGCUCACAACUCCAGCUGUGAGGUAGCAGAGUGGGGAGCUAGGCAGGAUAGCCAGCAGUGGGGUCAUCCCUUGAAGGUAACCAGGAAUCUCCGCUCACUCCUAAGUCAUGAGGCAGCCACAGGUUACUCUGUGGAAGCUCUGUGCUUCCUUGACCCGGCCAUGCUGUUGUCCUGGUGGCUGCAGCAGGGCAUGUCUCCUGUCUUAGCCUUGAGCCCAGCACAUGAUUGUUGGUGGUUGCUGACAUGGUCUCUGAUGCUGGAGGGGGUUCUAGGUCCUUCCUGGUGGUGGUAUUGGACUCAGGGCCGUAUGUUCCAUGUUUGUUUUCUUCUCCAUGGCUGAGCUACCCAUCUCUGGUCUGUUGACCCCAAGGAGAGCCUUCCCCACAUUUAAUUUUUAAGAAUGAUGACUUUCCUGUUUGACAAGGGCUUGUGUUGUUAAUUUAAAAACAAACAAAAAAAAUGGCAACAAAAGCUAAAUGGAGUACUUGUUAUAGGCCCAGUACUUGACCAGCAUUUUUUUCUUAAUCCUCCUAACAAUAAAUUAUAUAACACUAGUAUUAUCCAUGCUACUUAGAUGAAUUACUGAUCUUCAAAAGACUUAAUAACCAGACUAUUAACUGGUAGUGGAGCCAGAAUUCAAAUGAUGUUUUUAACCACUGAGCUACACCGUCUCCUCAGGAGAGAUUUAAAGGCUUAGAGUACAACUGUAAAGUAAAAUUUCAAGUAAACCCCUUGAAGAGUGGACUUCUUACUCCCCCUUUGGUGAUACAGUGACUUUGAUUUGUGAAAAUGAGGCAGAAUGGGUAUCUUAGUCCAUUCAGGCUGCUGUAACAAAAUAGCACAGAUUAGGUGGCUUAUAAACAAUGGACAUUUAUUUUUCACAGUGGAGUCUGGAAAUCCAAGAUCACAGCACCAGCAUGGUCAUGUUUGAUGGAGACCCUCUUUCUGGUUCCUAGCUGGUGCCUUCUUGCUGUGACCUCAUAUGGUAAAGGAGGCCAGGGAUCUCUCUGGAGCUGCUUUUAUAAGGCACUAACCCUAUUCAUCAGGGCCCCAUCCUCAUGACCUGAGCACCCCUGAAAGGUCCUACCUACUAAUACUAUUAACUUUGAGAAUUAAGAUUUCAACAUAUAAUGUGGGGAAGGGAAGAUACAAAUAUUCAGACCAGUAAGGGGGGAAAACACUUGAAUACUUAAAUAUUCUGGCUUUUCAUAGGACUGCAUAACCUUCAUGUAAGGCACAUGCUUCAUCUGCCUCUCCAUCUCCUUGUUUCAUUUGUUUGAAAUGUGGAGGAUGGACAGUGUAACCUGAUGUGGUUUCUGGUGAAGCAGUAUCAGCCCACAUCUUGAGAAAUUUUAUUUCAGUUCUUGGUCUUGCAGUUCAAAUCUGAGAAUUUAAUGUACUCUUUGACUUGAAUUCCACGUGUAGUCUCUAACUGAUGUGCUUGACUUCGAAGGGAGCACAUUUAAUUAGGAUAGAUUCCAAUGCUGUUUUUAUCCUGUGGAUUUAUUUCAUUGGAUUAUUUAAUUCCAUUGAGGGUAUUGGCCUGAGAGCAGAGUCUUAAGGAUAAGCCUUUGGAUGCCAAGCCCCAGGAAUCCACACACAGCAAAGGGCACAUUUGGAUUCCAGGGGUAUGAAUUUGAUCCAGAGAGCACAGGAGGAGAGUUGGACAGCCUCAUGUAUCAUACAUGUCCUGGGAUGGCCUUUAUCAGAGCUAAAAAGAUCUUCCUGAAUGACACCUCUGAUCUAUUCAAAUAGGAGUGUUGUCGUUUGGCUCUUUUGUCUUAUUUUUCCAGGGGAGGUGUUUCUUUUCCAGUGAAUUACAAAGAUGGUACCAUUUGCAAGUCAUCAUCAAAUGGGACUUUAGAAGGUACUGCCUUAGGCUCCCUCUGACAUGACUUUCUUCUGUCUCUCUGCCAACUGUGCCUUGUGUGAGAGGAGACAGGCCAGUUACAUUCAGGUGCUUUUCUGCUUACGUUCAGACCCUGAUUUCUCAGAUGUGUUCAUGUGUUCACUUGCAUUUCAUGGAGGAACAGAAGUCUGGCUCUUGGGCAUUACAGCAAGGAAAGAGUCUGCCACUUUGCCUUUGGUUGGAAGGUCUGGAGCUUUGGCGUGGCCGCAGACCAAGUCUAGAGGGCUUUGAAUUAAGCAGUCAAUGAGUCACUUUGCUAAGGGAAAAAAAGACCAUUCAUUCCUUUGUUCGGGGCUUGUUGGCUGAUUAGAAGCCCAGAUAGUACUCAUGAAUAAUUUACAUGGGCACUGACUUUUUUCCAGAGUCAAGCUCUACAGAAUUGGGGAAACAAAGGGCCCUGCAUCCCAUUUACCUGCCUGCCAGCAUUACAGGCACCAUUUUCUAUCCUGUUUUGAAAGCUGUAUUAAAGUUUACUCACAGGAACUUACUUACAGGAACUGAGCCAUCAUUGACAUUUCAGCUCCCAAAGCCAGCCAGCACCCAUUGGAUUUUCUGUUUCUGAGAAAACAUGGAAUGUAUCCAAAAUAGGUUGAGAGAGGAAGAAUUUAUAGAAGAGCUCAGUUUAAGUUUUGAUUCAUCCUUCUGAGGUUAUACUUGAACACACUGCAUUUCAACGCAUAGUUUUCAUCUUACACAUCUAGCUGCUUUGUGCCCUGUGCAGUUCUCAGCAUGUGGGGUGCGUGGUAAUCAGUGUUUGCUCCUCAAGCUCCAAGUGCUUCCUGGGGUCACUUGCUCUCCUGUUGCCCAGAUGUCGGACUGGUCACAGAGGUGACUGCCAGACUUGACAUAUUGUCUCGUACUCAUAUACAUAUGCAACACAUUUGCUUUAAAAGAAAAUCACUUUAGAGUUCUCCUCAAAUUAGAGAACAAUCACUACCUAAUUUGACUUUUUAAAUAAAUUCAGAAUUUGAGAGGAUUAGCAAUCUCCCUGCCAGAUGAGAUUUUUAAGCUUCUAAACACAGCUGUAGCAUCUGCAUGAAUACACCAGUCUCUAAUAUCAUCUGACUCUUGUUUCUCAAAGAUACUGUAAGGGACCAUCAGAUUCCUUGCUGACUUCACGUUCCUGUGUGAUCUAAAGUUAGCUGAGCAUUGCUUUGCUUGGAGAGCCCAUGCUAGAAGCCACCUCUGUGAGCAUUGCUAUCUGCUUCCAGAUCAGCUUGAUGUUGGGUCGGUGGUAGUAGCAUGUGCUUGAGUCAUUGUUCUCUGUUAUCUAGCUCUUUCCCCUCUUGAACUGGGGCAACACCUGUCUGAUUCCCAUCUCCUGGGGCCUUUCUAACUCCAAAGUAUUAGCAGAACUUACAGAGUCCCCAAACGUCUUUUAUUUGAGCCUAGAAUUCUGGACUCGUACCUGUAUUGGAAUUCAGUUCUGUGUUUAUAUUUAUUCUACUCAUUCUAGUGAUAAAGGUGGUCUUUUUAGAUAAAGAUGAAAGUCCAAGUUAGGAGUUCUGUUUUCCCUUUGCCAUACAACACCUCAUUCCUUCUGCCCCAAGAAGUAGGUUUACUCUUUCUUGAUAUGCUUGCUACAAAAACAGUUACAAUUGUCAUUUUUGUCUUCAUAUAGCAGUCCUUGUUUCUUUAGGAUGCACAAGUUGUGAGAUUCUCAAUACGUUAGUAACUUUCACUUCGGAUUUGGCCGUGAGCCCUUACCUAGCAUUGUUCCUGGAACUCCAAACUUUUUAAUCAUAUUCUUGCCUUCUCUCUUCUUAGCUUGUUCUGCCAGUUGGUGGCCUCAUUGCAUGCCUGCUCUUCCAUCACCAGAAAGUGACUUCAAUCCCUAACUCCCAAGAUCUUUUUUCAAAGCCUCUGGGGAUAUUUGACAAGUAUUUAUUGAGCAUCAACUCUCUGCCAAGGAUAUGGAUACAGUGAUGAGCAAAAACAAAAGUGCUGUCUUGUAGGCAGUAUGGUUGAGUGAGGGAGAAAGACAUCAAUUACAUGAUCAUAUUAAUACAAAAUCACAACUGUGACCAGUGCUAUGAAGAAGAGGAAUGCAUUGCACUGAAUGAGAACGUCUCAUAGUGUGUUUCAAUCUGGGUCAAGGAAAGGUGGAAGAUUUUCCUAAGGAAGUGACUCAGGAGCUGAG